RNAcentral lists this non-coding RNA (21 nucleotides) under Arabidopsis thaliana (thale cress). Lineage: Eukaryota; Viridiplantae; Streptophyta; Magnoliopsida; Brassicales; Brassicaceae. The record is from RNAcentral.
UAUGGUACUAUAAUGGUCAUC